This 208-nucleotide long non-coding RNA is filed under the name Mytilus galloprovincialis (Mediterranean mussel). The record is from RNAcentral. Lineage: Eukaryota; Metazoa; Mollusca; Bivalvia; Mytilida; Mytilidae.
GUUUGGCGUCAUUAUAGCAGGGUUUACCUGAUCUUACUGAACAAGUUUAUGCAGCUUUUCGUCUAUUGAGUUGCAUGUUUUUUUAAGACGUAUGAUAAUAAGUAUAAGUUUGUAUUAUUUUUUAAUACCGUUGGCCAUUUGCGCAAAAUCAGCUUGUUAAAAAACGCACGAUAUUUCAGUAUAGGAUGUGACGUAUGUAUCAAAUAUU